RNAcentral lists this unclassified non-coding RNA (384 nucleotides) under uncultured Tepidisphaerales bacterium. RNAcentral describes it as "contains 16S-23S intergenic spacer region". The record is from RNAcentral. Lineage: Bacteria; Pseudomonadati; Planctomycetota; Phycisphaerae; Tepidisphaerales.
UCCGGUUUGACACCGGCAGUCCCCUUAGAGUCCUCAGCAUUACCUGUUAGUAACUAAGGGCAAAGGUUUCGCUCGUUAAGGGACUUAACCCGACAUCUCACGACACGAGCUGACGACAGCCAUGCAGCACCUGUACUUGUUGUACCCCGAAGGGCCUACUCCGCUUUCACGGAGAUAAUCCAAGCAUGUCAAGCCCAGGUAAGGUUCUGCGCGUUGCUUCGAAUUGAACCACAUGCUCCACCGCUUGUGUGAGCCCCCGUCAAUUCCUUUGAGUUUUAGCCUUGCGACCGUACUUCCCAGGCGGUCCACUUAGCACUUUUGCUUCGACCGAAAAACCGUCAGAGGUACUUCGAUCUAGUGGACAUCGUUUAGGGCCAGGACUAC